UACGUAGGGUGCGAGCGUUGUCCGGAAUUAUUGGGCGUAAAGAGCUUGUAGGUGGUUUGUCGCGUCUGCUGUGAAAAUCCGAGGCUCAACCUCGGACUUGCAGUGGGUACGGGCAGACUAGAGUGUGGUAGGGGAGACUGGAAUUCCUGGUGUAGCGGUGGAAUGCGCAGAUAUCAGGGGGAACACCGAUGGCGAAGGCAGGUCUCUGGGCCAUUACUGACACUGAGAAGCGAAAGCAUGGGGAGCGAACAGG
Molecule: ribosomal RNA, 253 nt
Filed under: uncultured bacterium
Lineage: Bacteria
Description: partial 16S ribosomal RNA
Rfam family: Bacterial small subunit ribosomal RNA
Source: RNAcentral